Molecule: ribosomal RNA, 1372 nt
Filed under: Curtobacterium sp. 167F1
Lineage: Bacteria; Bacillati; Actinomycetota; Actinomycetes; Micrococcales; Microbacteriaceae
Description: bacterial SSU rRNA
Rfam family: Bacterial small subunit ribosomal RNA
Source: RNAcentral
AGUCGAACGAUGAUGCCCAGCUUGCUGGGUGGAUUAGUGGCGAACGGGUGAGUAACACGUGAGUAACCUGCCCCUGACUCUGGGAUAAGCGUUGGAAACGACGUCUAAUACUGGAUAGGACUGCCGGCCGCAUGGUCUGGUGGUGGAAAGAUUUUUUGGUUGGGGAUGGACUCGCGGCCUAUCAGCUUGUUGGUGAGGUAAUGGCUCACCAAGGCGACGACGGGUAGCCGGCCUGAGAGGGUGACCGGCCACACUGGGACUGAGACACGGCCCAGACUCCUACGGGAGGCAGCAGUGGGGAAUAUUGCACAAUGGGCGAAAGCCUGAUGCAGCAACGCCGCGUGAGGGAUGACGGCCUUCGGGUUGUAAACCUCUUUUAGUAGGGAAGAAGCGCAAGUGACGGUACCUGCAGAAAAAGCACCGGCUAACUACGUGCCAGCAGCCGCGGUAAUACGUAGGGUGCAAGCGUUGUCCGGAAUUAUUGGGCGUAAAGAGCUCGUAGGCGGUUUGUCGCGUCUGCUGUGAAAUCCCGAGGCUCAACCUCGGGCUUGCAGUGGGUACGGGCAGACUAGAGUGCGGUAGGGGAGAUUGGAAUUCCUGGUGUAGCGGUGGAAUGCGCAGAUAUCAGGAGGAACACCGAUGGCGAAGGCAGAUCUCUGGGCCGUAACUGACGCUGAGGAGCGAAAGCGUGGGGGAGCGAACAGGAUUAGAUACCCUGGUAGUCCACGCCGUAAACGUUGGGCGCUAGAUGUAGGGACCUUUCCACGGUUUCUGUGUCGUAGCUAACGCAUUAAGCGCCCCGCCUGGGGAGUACGGCCGCAAGGCUAAAACUCAAAGGAAUUGACGGGGGCCCGCACAAGCGGCGGAGCAUGCGGAUUAAUUCGAUGCAACGCGAAGAACCUUACCAAGGCUUGACAUACACCGGAAACGGCCAGAGAUGGUCGCCCCCUUGUGGUCGGUGUACAGGUGGUGCAUGGUUGUCGUCAGCUCGUGUCGUGAGAUGUUGGGUUAAGUCCCGCAACGAGCGCAACCCUCGUUCUAUGUUGCCAGCGCGUUAUGGCGGGGACUCAUAGGAGACUGCCGGGGUCAACUCGGAGGAAGGUGGGGAUGACGUCAAAUCAUCAUGCCCCUUAUGUCUUGGGCUUCACGCAUGCUACAAUGGCCGGUACAAAGGGCGGCGAUACCGUAAGGUGGAGCGAAUCCCAAAAAGCCGGUCUCAGUUCGGAUUGAGGUCUGCAACUCGACCUCAUGAAGUCGGAGUCGCUAGUAAUCGCAGAUCAGCAACGCUGCGGUGAAUACGUUCCCGGGCCUUGUACACACCGCCCGUCAAGUCAUGAAAGUCGGUAACACCCGAAGCCGGUGGCCCAACCCU